Molecule: non-coding RNA, 619 nt
Organism: Arachis ipaensis
Lineage: Eukaryota; Viridiplantae; Streptophyta; Magnoliopsida; Fabales; Fabaceae
Source: RefSeq, a predicted model, not a curated record
AACACCUUCAAAAUUUGAAACAAGCAAAAUACAAUGAUGAUGAAGCAGUUCAAACAGUUUUCGAAAAGGAGAGACAUGGUAGAGUUCGUUUCUAUGGUCGAUCAGUCACAAAAUCCUCUCUUAAAAAGGAUAAGGAAAUCCGACAAAUGCAACAACAACAUAAUGAAGUGGUUUCAACUAUGGAGAAAAAUCAAAAUAACUUAACUUUCAAGUUGGAUGGUUUAACAAACUUAAUUAAAACGUUGUUGCAACAAGUCAAUCCUGGUAUGAGUGCAGAACAAGUGCAAAUAAUGAUAAAAUCUGCCCAACAAUCUCCACCUGACGCGAGUAGUGCACUAAAUGAUGCGCGGCGAAACAUUCCUCCUUCACUUGGAUCGAACCAUGUAUCAAAGGAUAUGGAAGAAGACAUGAUGUGAUGAAGAAAAUAUGUUCCAUACAAAUAUCACAUGGGAUGGGUCUUACAAUGACCUUAGUUAUGUAAAUGUAAUAUUUUGAUGUGUUGUGUACUUUUUGAGGUAUUACAUGUAAUUAGAAAAAUUACACUCUAUUUUGAUUUGUGUUGUUUAGACUAAAAAUUAAACAUAUCUAUCUUAUAAUGAAACUUUUAUGAUUUAGAUUU